GUAAACUUGCAAUAAUGAAAAAGUGUACUUCUGAAGAAAACGACAUGACCGUUUUUGUUGGUAUUCAAGUCAGCUAGUGUUUAUAAUGACCGGAUAUCGAAUAAGGGAAGCCCGGCUGCCCUCGUAACAAAACCAGCAAAUAUCCUGAUGACAGCGAAGUGAUGACAUUAGCCAUUCCUUAGGGUAGGAGGAACAGAUGGAUCUUAUAGACCUAUGACAACUUCCGGAGCGGGUAGUACAGGAUGAAAUGCUGACCCUGAUGUUGCUUUUCAUUCAUAAAUAAGUAGAAAAUUGUUUCUUCAGUCUUUUGGGAACACAGGACUUAAAAGUCACAUCAUGUGUAGAUAUUACCAAGCAGCAUUACCAAGACAUGGCAAAGAGUUUGUCUGAAUUGGAAUGUUGCUAUUUGUGGCCCUCUUCGGGGAUUUUCAGAGGUACAAGGUUAGAAUGCUACAAUGUUACCACCGUGCCUUCCAAUGUUUAUAUCAUCGGAAACAUAACAUAAUCAAAGUGGCUGUGAUUUAACAAAAUGAUUAAAGUGUU
This 543-nucleotide long non-coding RNA is filed under the name Bos taurus (domestic cattle). RNAcentral describes it as "long non-coding RNA NONBTAT015274". Lineage: Eukaryota; Metazoa; Chordata; Mammalia; Artiodactyla; Bovidae. The record is from RNAcentral.